This 317-nucleotide ribosomal RNA is filed under the name uncultured OCS116 cluster bacterium. RNAcentral describes it as "SSU rRNA". It matches the Rfam family "Bacterial small subunit ribosomal RNA", at positions 29 to 367 of the family's 1533-position model. Lineage: Bacteria; Pseudomonadati; Pseudomonadota; Alphaproteobacteria. The record is from RNAcentral.
ACGAACGCUGGCGGCAGGCCUAACACAUGCAAGUCGAACGAUAAGCUUCUUCGGAAGUGGACAGUGGCAGACGGGUGAGUAACGCGUGGGGAUCUGCCCAGAGGUUCGGGACAACCAUUGGAAACGAUGGCUAAUACCGAAUAAGCCCGUAAGGGGAAGAUUUAUUGCCUUUGGAUGAACCCGCGUAAGAUUAGCUAGUUGGUGGGGUAAUGGCCUACCAAGUCUACGAUCUAUAGCUGGUUUGAGAGGAUGAUCAGCCACAUUGGGACUGAGACACGGCCCAAACUCCUACGGGAGGCAGCAGUGGGGAAUCUUGC